UCCUUUCCUGGAGAGCUGCCUUCUGCUUUUCUAAGGCAGCCAACACUCCGAAAGAACUUUCCACACUAUCACCCUGUAAUGGUGAAAUUCAGUAAAGGACUCCUUCAAAUGCAUAAAGGUAUAUGUAGCAAUUUUCACGGAAAACGAAAUACCUUCACGUCCAUACUCAGUGCGGCGUAAUGUUCAGCAACUUGCACAAUUUCUUUAGCCUGCAUCCCUACAAGACUUCCAACUGCACUGGCGCUUAGACGACCCUAUCCCAUACAGAGAAGCCUGGCAAAGUAUAAAUAACAAAGGCUAACUUACCUCGUGGUCAUCGGCAACAGACAUAUUCUUCAUGAGCUCGUCUAUGCGCUUCUAGAAAUAUCGAACACUCAAAAACGCAAAUAAUAAUUAUAUUAUGCACAUGACGCCACAUCAAACAUGCUAAGUCAAUUAAUAUCAGCCAACAAGUGAACUUCAAAUUCCCAUUGAAAAGGCAUCGGCUUCUGUAGACGCGUCAUCAGUUGCUAUAGAAGGCGAUGGUGAUACUAGGGAUGAAGAUCCAUAUUCCAACAAUGUACUUUGAACCUUUUCCAUCUCAUCAUCUGGUGGGGCAUCUUUACGUUUGAAGUAACGCUGAGGUGUGUAAACUUGCUACGAGUGGUGAAAUUUAGCACAUUCAUUAUCUUCUGCAAAUGCGUAAUUCUUAUCAAACUGGCUGAUCGCAUAAGAUCUAACAAAGUCUCCCAUUUCCUCACGCAUUUCCAUAGAUCGUUUUACGAGCCACUGUAUAAUGGGAAAAAUAUGGAUGCAAUCCAAUCCUUGAAUUUGAUGAGGCUCUAUGCGAUGUGGACAGUUCAUUUUGGGAAGCAUUGCAACAAUUUUUUCGGUCAAUGCACUGCAGAAAAUAUAAUAAUAGUC
Long non-coding RNA from Athalia rosae (coleseed sawfly), 903 nucleotides. RefSeq lists it as uncharacterized. The transcript is spliced from 4 exons. Lineage: Eukaryota; Metazoa; Arthropoda; Insecta; Hymenoptera; Athaliidae. The record is from RefSeq and is a predicted model, not a curated record.